CUUCGGAGUGAGAGCGUACACAGGUGCUGCAUGGCUGUCGUCAGCUCGUGUCGUGAGAUGUUGGGUUAAGUCCCGCAACGAGCGCAACCCUGCAUUCAGUUGCCAUCGGUAAGGCCGGGCACUCUGGAUGGACUGCCGGCGACAAGCCGGAGGAAGUGGGGACGACGUCAAGUCAUCAUGGCCCUUAUGUCCAGGGCGACACACGUGCUACAAUGGCCGGCACAACGGGAAGCGAAGGGGCGACCCUGAGCGGAUCCCACAAAAGCCGGUCUCAGUUCGGAUUGCAGUCUGCAACUCGACUGCAUGAAGUUGGAAUCGCUAGUAAUCGUGGAUCAGCCAAGCCGCGGUGAAUACGUUCCCGGGCCUU
Molecule: ribosomal RNA, 367 nt
Filed under: uncultured Thermovirga sp.
Lineage: Bacteria; Thermotogati; Synergistota; Synergistia; Synergistales; Thermovirgaceae
Description: bacterial SSU rRNA
Rfam family: Bacterial small subunit ribosomal RNA
Source: RNAcentral